AUUGAACGCUGGCGGCAUGCCUUACACAUGCAAGUCGAACGGCAGCACGGGUGCUUGCACCUGGUGGCGAGUGGCGAACGGGUGAGUAAUACAUCGGAACGUACCUUAUCGUGGGGGAUAACGCAGCGAAAGCUGUGCUAAUACCGCAUACGCCCUGAGGGGGAAAGCGGGGGAUCGAAAGACCUCGCGCGAUUAGAGCGGCCGAUGCCUGAUUAGCUUGUUGGUGGGGUAAAAGCCCACCAAGGCGAGGAUCAGUAGCGGGUCUGAGAGGACGACCAGCCACCCUGGGACUUGGGCCCGGCCCAGACUCCUACGGGAGGCAGCAAUGGGGAUUUUUGGCAAAUGGCGUCAACCCUGUUCCAGCAAUGCCGCGUGAGUGAAGAUGGCCUUCGGGUUGUAAAGCUCUUUUGUCAGGGAAGAAACACCAGCUCUAACACAGUCCGGGAAUGACGGUACCUGAAGAAUAAGCACCGGCUAACUACGUGCCAGCAGCCGCCGUAA
This 501-nucleotide ribosomal RNA is filed under the name uncultured bacterium. RNAcentral describes it as "partial 16S ribosomal RNA". It matches the Rfam family "Bacterial small subunit ribosomal RNA", at positions 30 to 523 of the family's 1533-position model. The record is from RNAcentral.